Molecule: ribosomal RNA, 492 nt
Filed under: uncultured bacterium
Lineage: Bacteria
Description: bacterial SSU rRNA
Rfam family: Bacterial small subunit ribosomal RNA
Source: RNAcentral
GAUGAACGCUAGCUACAGGCUUAACACAUGCAAGUCGAGGGGAAACGACAUCGAAAGCUUGCUUUUGAUGGGCGUCGACCGGCGCACGGGUGAGUAACGCGUAUCCAACCUGCCCACCACUUGGGGAUAACCUUGCGAAAGUAAGACUAAUACCCAAUGACGUCUCUAGAAGACAUCUGAAAGAGAUUAAAGAUUUAUCGGUGAUGGAUGGGGAUGCGUCUGAUUAGCUUGUUGGCGGGGUAACGGCCCACCAAGGCGACGAUCAGUAGGGGUUCAGAGAGGAAGGUCCCCCACAUUGGAACUGAGACACGGUCCAAACUCCUACGGGAGGCAGCAGUGAGGAAUAUUGGUCAAUGGGCGAGAGCCUGAACCAGCCAAGUAGCGUGCAGGAAGACGGCCCUAUGGGUUGUAAACUGCUUUUAUAGGGGAAUAAAGUGAGCCACGUGUGGCUUUUUGCAUGUACCCUAUGAAUAAGGACCGGCUAAUUCCGUG